This 258-nucleotide ribosomal RNA is filed under the name Salmonella enterica subsp. enterica serovar Infantis. Its description in RNAcentral is "partial 16S ribosomal RNA". It matches the Rfam family "Bacterial small subunit ribosomal RNA", at positions 997 to 1255 of the family's 1533-position model. The record is from RNAcentral. Lineage: Bacteria; Pseudomonadati; Pseudomonadota; Gammaproteobacteria; Enterobacterales; Enterobacteriaceae. RNAcentral also lists the same sequence under 4 other names.
UUUCCAGAGAUGGACUGGUGCCUUCGGGAACUGUGAGACAGGUGCUGCAUGGCUGUCGUCAGCUCGUGUUGUGAAAUGUUGGGUUAAGUCCCGCAACGAGCGCAACCCUUAUCCUUUGUUGCCAGCGGUCCGGCCGGGAACUCAAAGGAGACUGCCAGUGAUAAACUGGAGGAAGGUGGGGAUGACGUCAAGUCAUCAUGGCCCUUACGACCAGGGCUACACACGUGCUACAAUGGCGCAUACAAAGAGAAGCGACCU